AUGUAAACAUUGGGUUGACGUACAUAAUGAAGUCUUUUUAACUGAAACAGAAAAUACAGUACAUAACUAGCAAACGUUAUUCUAAAUUUUCAUGACAAAAGUUUCAUUUUUUCUACUUGAAUAAAUAUUUAUUAAAAAUGGAUUAUCCCGCUAGUCAGCAUAUGACUAAAGAUCAUGAUGAUUUUUCUGACAAAAAAUUUCGACAAACUCUUAAUAUAACUAUUAUCAAUAAUUUUUUGGAUUUAAAAGCUUCUACUUCAGCUUCAAAUCAUGCUACUUUAUCUGCUUUUUUUCAUCACAUGAGAAAUUCUUUCAAAGAAAUUCCUCACAUCUUUGUUGCAUCACCAAUUCAUCAUGAUGCAGAUGAAAGUAGACAAGAAAAAGGUGAUGUUUGUUUAUCUACAGCUUUUACUGAAUGGUUAAUGAUGUGGUUACUUCAUGUUCUGAAUGAUCCAUCUGCGGAUUCAGUGCAUAAAGAAUGCAGAGACCUAUUUUUUUACCUCUUGCAGUUAAUUAAAUUUAAUAAUACCUUUAAUUUCCGGCACUCUGUUAUGCGUCUCAUCAAUUUGCUCGCAGAACUAAAUGAUAUGUUUGACAGAUUUGUGGAUGGAAAUACUGAAACUUCCAUUAUUGAAAAUUACUUUUAUUCUGAUGAAAAACUUAAAUCUGAGUGUGCUCAAGAACUAGAUCUCGUAACUAUUUCAGUCUCUUUUUCUACUCCAUAUGAAUGUGAAGCCUUGCAGGAAAAAGUAACUUCUCUUUUAGAAAUGUUGACCAUAGAUAUUACCCAGUUUCUACCAGAUCAGUGCAAUAACUUAUGCAAAAUAUUUUGCAUUCAGAUAGAGUUAGGAGAUUUAAAUCUGAAAAAGGAAUCUGUGAGAGGAAUUGCAUCUUUAGUAAGAGAGCAUGGUCUCAUGUUUUCAAUAAGCAAUAUUGAUUAUCUCUUCAGCUGUAUUCAGGCUAUUACACUGUUUUGCAGUUCAUUUGAGGAACCUAUUUCUGAGGUAUUUAGAUCAUUACAAGAUGCCAUAGGUGUAUUCUUGAGGAUAGUGAUUGAGAAGGUAGAUAAACCUGAAAGCAAGUUUAUGUUAACUACUUCAACUCUUGGUAAAAUGCUUCAAGUUUUAUCUGAGGCUGUGACUAAAUCCUAUUUUUUGGAUUCCACUCAGUGUUUUCAAUCUUCUGUUGUGACUGGAAUAAUUUUCUUUUUGCAACAUGGGAAGGAGAAUGGUUAUUUAUUUCCCAUAGUUUUACAGCAACAGUUAUCAGAAUUUGUUGUUACUUCUCUCAGCGCAAGGGCAUCAAAGUUUUUGUUACAUUUGGCUGUUCAUUUAAUCAAAACAGAAGGAGAAAGUUGUUAUUUUGGAACAAAUCAAAACAAGGAGAAAUUUGGAGGUGGACAAGAAAAACUGAUUCCUUUUGAAAAUAUGAGAGAGAUCUCUAAUACUUGGUUGCAAUUUUAUAAGCAUCUUAUUUAUAUACUGAAUGCUGAAACUUCUAGCAAAGCAAUUGAUGUAGACGUGGUUUGUUGCUGUGCAGAAAUUCUUCUCCGUAGUUACUCUGAACUUCAUCAUAUUGAAAAAUUUGAGUUUCAAGAAUUUACUCUUUCUGGUUCCCAAUCACAUAUUGCAAGAAGACGUUUUCCUCCCCUGAUUAUUGAUUCAUUCAACGCUCAUGCCAAAUAUCUUUUAGUAAAUAAUUUUUCAUCCACUUAUGAAAAAAUAAUUAAAUUUUACAAGCAAGUUCUUCUUCUACAAGAUUUAUUGCAUUUAACUGAUGAGCAUUAUGACAUCAUAUGCAAUGUUUUAUCCAUUCCUUGGAUUUUAGAAGAAGAAGAUGUUCAAGAUUUAUCAGAUCAGUUUUUAUCUCUACACAUCAUUAAGAAACUGGAUAUUACGAUACAUAAUUCUGUUGCUGCCCAUUGUUUACAAAGUCUGGUGUUGAUACCUUCAAGAAUUUCUCUAAGUUGGAGAAGUCAUAUUCUUUCCAUGUGUUUGUCUUGCAACACGGACUUGGCACUGACAGCGGUUAAAAUGCUCCCAAUCUUUUUGUAUUCAUCUCUUAAUCCUCUAAAAUUCUUAUUUGAAUUAAAUCCUUGUUUGCUACAGUUAAAUAAUAUUGAUGUUCUAAGAGAACUAUGUAAAUAUUUUGGAACUGUUUGUUGCAUUUGUUCUGGCUGCUGUUCCUUGUACAGACAACUAGAAUGUGAUUAUGAUUCAGAUGUGGUGCUGCCAGUUAAAUGUGCAGUUUGUGAUAAAUUACAAGACUCUAGUGAUAAAAGUAAACCAUUGCCAUCUCCAUUUGUUGAAAGUCUUGCAGAUUUAAUGAUCCACAUUCUUAGUCAUCCAUCUGAGCUUAUACGCAGAGAAUCUAUGCAAGCAGUUUUACGUUUUUUUACACAUUUUGAAGUGAAGGAAAAUGUAUUAUCUGCUACAAUGCAUUUUUUGGUUGAUGUAAAUCCAGUUGUUAGAACAAAAUUUAGUGAGGUAGUUGGUUUGGCUUUAAAACCACUUUUUAGCUUUCAAAGGGAUCAUAAAUGGAGGCAGAGAAUCGAUGAAUUGCUUAUGAUGAAACUGCAAGCUGCACUUCUUGCUUCAAAGCAAAGUGGAAAUGUUCAUUUUCAAAAGUCUAUAAUUUAUAGUAUUGGUGAGAUUGGAAAAAUUUCUGAUGGUGGUUUGCUUCUCAUCAAUAUCAUCAGUCUUUUAGAAAAUUAUAUGACAUCCAUCCCAUCAGUGAAAGUUGUUGCAUUUUCUAAAUUGAAACAGAUUGCAGAAUCUAAACAAUUAAAGAUGCAAGAUUUAUUAAAAGCAUACAAAGGUGCUAUAUGUAAAUUCCUUGCUGAAUUCUUGUUUGCAAGAAAUCCAGAUGAUGCUAACCAAAUUUUAUUUAUUCUUGAAGAAAUUAGAACUGUGUUUGGAUACAAUGACUUGAAAUCUUUCAUACAUCAAAAUCAACAUAGUAUUCUACCCUACCUCAUUGCAAGAGAGACACAAUGCUCUUCUGUAUUCAUAGAAACUCUGGCAACUGUGUUGCAUAUAGAUAAAAGAGAAAUUCUUAUUAAUAACUUUCCUUAUAUUUUCUCACAUUUUGUUUGUCAUUGUGAUAAAUCAGACCUGGAAAAGGCUCUUAUAUUUAUUCAGAGAGAAACAGAUUUAGAGCUCGGAAGUCUUCUGCGUUGUAAUUAUCAGCCUGUUCAUAAUGAACUGCUUCUACAUUUAAGUACCCACUAUCAACAAGUUUUUAGUGGCUUGGCUAUUCUUGCUCUCAAGAGUGGAAACCUGGAAGGAAACAAUUCAAUCAUAACACACUCUGAAGAAAUGGCCAGUUAUCUGCAACCAAAAUUAUUGGGAUUCCUAGUAUUUUUCGAUGCUCAAAUGUUGAAGAGCUCUUUAGACGACAAAAAAUUGGCACUGGAAAGUCUUAUUGCAAUUAUGAAAAUAAUGGGAUCCCGUGCAAUUACUGCUGUACGUUUUAAACUUAUGGCAACUUUGAGGCUUACUUUACGAUUUAAAGAUGGAGAUUUCCCAAAAAUAUGUUGCAAAGCAUGGAAUACAUUUGUAAGCAGCAUUGAAAUAACAUCUUUGGGACCUCUUUUAAAUCAAAUCAUUGUGGCACUUUUACCUUUAUUGGAAAUUGAACCUGUAGCUGUUUCUGAAAUUUUCCAUUAUCUGAUAAUUGAAAAAAGGGCAUAUCUCAGUGAAUUCUUCCAUGAUUUAUAUUUUGUCCCUGACACCCCUGAACUUCAGCAGAUUAAUGUUGUUUUAAAAGAUUAUAGUGAAAGUCCUGACAGUCUGACAGAUUUUUGCUCUUUGUUGUGUCAUUCACUGAAGGGCAUUAGUCAUGAGAAUUUAGAAGUGAGACUGCAUGCUUUAGAAAAGUUAAAGCAGGUUCUUCAUUCAAAUCAGAAAGCUAUCCAUGAUCAUUUGCAUGGAAGAGAAAGUGUAGAUAAUUUAUUAUCACACCUUGUAGCUGCGUUAAUUGGUAGCUGCCGAGAAUCAGAUGUGAGGGUAAGAACAGCCUUAGGGCAUUGUUUAGGUGAACUAGGUGCAAUUGAUCCUGGAAGGCUUGAUAUGAAAAGUGCCCGAUCAAGAGAAACAUUAGCUAACUUUUAUAGCAGUAUUGAUGAGGAAGAUUUUGCUUAUGCAUUGAUACAGGAAUUAGUACAUUCUUUUCUUGCUGCUGAACAAAGUGGAAUUCAGGAUUGCUCUGCAUGUGCUAUUCAAGAAGUAUUGAGAUUUUAUAAAUGUUCAAAUGAAUCUGGGUCAAGUGGAAAUCAUUUGUGGAAACGGUUUCCUCCUGAUAUACAGGAAAUUCUUAUUGUUUUAUUUCAUUCGCAAUAUAAACCAUUGCAAAAAUCCAGAAGGAAAUUUCCUGUUCCAAUUUAUCAAAGCAAAAUGGGUGGCACAUUCAGAGAUUGGACAAAAAAUUGGUUUUAUAGCCUGCUGCAAAAGGUUAAGAAGGAGAACCCUUUUAAACUGUUUCAUGCCUGCUCUGUCAUUAUAAAAUAUGAUCUUAAUUGUACUUUGUUCUUACUUCCUCAUCUUGUUGUAUAUGCUCUUUUAGACUGUACAGAAAUUGAAAAAAAUGAAAUAUGCGCAGAAAUAUUAACAGUCCUAAGGCAUAGUGAGCAAUUGUCUGUCAUGAAUGAUUUGUGUCAGUUAAGUUCUCAAAUUGUAUUCUCAGUUGUUGAUCAUUUAACCAAAUGGAUUCAUCAUUAUCAAAAUGAAAUAUCAUCAAAAACCAGUGGACGUUCACUUGGCCCAAGGUUGUCUCAAGAUAAAAAUUUCCAAUCAGUUAAUGCCUGUUUGACAAACAUUCCCCAAAUUCUUUUGGCAAAAUCUGCUUUUGCUUGUCAAGCAUAUGCACGAGCCUUGUUGCAUUUAGAAAAAUAUUUAAAGGAAUUUCCUGACCAGCUAGAAAAUCAUAUUGGCUUCAUUCAGAAAAUUUAUGCAUCAUUAGAUGAUGCUGAUGGUGUUGCUGGAGUAGCUGCUAUAAGAAAAGAAGAACCCACUUUAAAAGAUCUUAUUUUAGAAAAUGAAGCUAACGGGGAUAUGCAAGCUGCCUUUGCUUGUUAUGAGAAAGCUAUCAAGCUCUAUCCUGAUGAAGUUAGCUAUUAUGGAGGGCUUCUGAAAUGUUUUCUAGCUAUGGAUCAACCUACUACUGCUGUUUCUUAUGCUAAUGGAAUACUUACUGAGAGGCCUGAUUGGAAAGACAAUUUGAAUCCAUUUAGAAUUGAAGCUGCUUGGCAAUUAUCAAACUGGGAAAGUCUUGAAUCUUAUCUGGAAGAAGAGGAAAAUAAAGAAGACUGGACUGUAGGUGUUGGAAACAUUCUGUAUUUGGCAAAUAAAAAGGAUGUGGCAAACUUUGAAAAAUAUGUUAACAUUAUCCGUAGCCGUCAAAUGGCUCCUCUGUCAGCUGCUUCUAUGGAGAGAGGAGCUUACUUAAGAGGCUAUGAAUAUCUAAUAAGAAUGCACAUGCUUACAGAUUUGCAAGAAGCUGUGCAAUCGAUAUUCAACUUAAAUUUAUCUGACAGAAGUCCUUCCAAAACUGUGUCUCUUUUCAAUGAAAUACUUCCUACCUUAUCACUAAGAAGAAAUCUUCUUCAGUCAUCAUCAAGAUAUCAAGAACCUAUUCAUAAUCUUCACAGAGUUCUUUUAAAAAUUGGAAAGGAAAAGAUGCCUGAAUUUUCGUCUAAGUUUGAUCAAGAAAUUACAAAAUGUUGGUUGCAGAGUGCUAGACUUGCCAGAAAGAAUGGUUUCUAUCAGCGAGCUUAUAGUUGUUUGUUGGAAGCUGGAAUUAAGAAUUCUGCAGAUUUCUUCAUGGAAAAAACAAAAUGGCUUUGGAAUAAAGGUGAGAAAGAACAAGCCAUAUAUUGUCUCCAAAAGGGAAUCAGUGAACAUUUUCCAUCAAUGCAGACUAAAAAAGCUUCAUCGUUAAAUUUAUCCAUAGAUGAUCAACUAAUAUGUGCUAAAGCUAAAUUAUUACUAGCAAUUUAUAGUGAAGAAUCAUCUAUUGUUGAUAGUGGCAGCUUGAUUGAAAUGUAUAAAGAAGUAGUAAACUUACAACCUGAUUGGGAAGCAAGCCAUUUCCAUUUGGCUAAAUAUUACGAUAAAAUGCUUAAUACUACAGAAAAUCCUGAUGCUAAAGCAGAAAUAAUGAUUAAAGUUGUGAGGAAUUUUGGGACUUCAUUAAAACAUGGCUGCAAAAAUGUUUACCACUCUUUGCCUAGGCUUUUAGACAUUUGGUUUGAUUUAGGAAGUCUUCAAGGAGUUGAUGACAAUAGCAGUUCAAGUAAAAAGUUAGCUAGUUCUUGGAAAUCAACUGCAGCAUCUUUGGAAAGAAUUAGCAAUAUGGUUCAAGAGUUAUAUGGGAGUGUCCCUCUUUAUUUAUUUUUGACUGCAUUUCCACAGUUAGUUUCUAGAAUUUGCCAUUCUCACCCUAGUGUAUCUGGACCACUUCAGAAAUUGAUCUCUCGGUUGUUAGUUUCAUAUCCUCAACAGUCAAUGUGGAUGAUGAUGGCUGUGUCAAAAUCAUCUUAUCCAACUAGAAGCAAGAGAUGCAAACAAAUUUUUCAAGAGGCUAUUCUGUUAAAUCCCAGUCUUGGCAAAUAUAUUAAUGACACAACACGUUUGGCUGACAAAUUAAUAGAUUUAAGCAAUAAAAAUGUUGGGGAAACUAACAAAUUAAGCAUUAGUGAAAACUUCUCUAGUCUUUCAAAAUUGAUUGAUGAUAGAAAUUUCAGUCAAAUUAUGUUGCCAUUACAAACUCAAAUGAUUGUAACUCUUCCCAAUGGCUAUGUAUCCACUUUUGAUUAUAAUGCUUUUCCUUUUACCCCAGUAUUCAUACAAGGAUUUGAAGACACUGUCGAAGUUUUUCCCUCCUUGCAGAAACCCAAAAAACUCAUUGUAAAAGGUAGUGAUGGAAAGUUAUAUCCAAUUAUGUGUAAACCAAAGGAUGAUUUAAGGAAAGAUUGCAGAUUGAUGGAAUUUAAUAAUCUUGUGAACAGAUAUCUGAAAAUAGAUCCAGAAGCCCGAAGGCGUCAAUUGUACAUCAGAACUUAUGCUGUAGUACCUCUGAAUGAAGAAUGUGGCCUAAUCGAGUGGGUUCCUAAUCUUCAUGGCUUACGUCAGAUAUUAUCUAAAUUAUACAGAUUAAAAGGAUUAUUUGUAACUGGGCGUGAAAUUAGAGCUAUGAUGCCUUCUAAAACAGCUACAUUUGAAGAGAAACUUAAUAUAUUUAAAAAUAAAUUCCUGCCAAGGUUCCCACCAGUUUUCCAUGAAUGGUUUAAAAUAAUAUUCCCUGAUCCUACAGCCUGGUAUCAUGCUCGUUUGGCAUAUGCUCGUACUACAGCAGUCAUGAGUAUGGUUGGAUAUAUAGUUGGUCUUGGAGACAGACAUGGGGAAAAUAUUUUGUUUGAUUCCAGCUGUGGAGAUAGCGUGCAUGUCGACUUGAAUUGCCUAUUUAAUAAGGGUGAAACUAUGGAAUAUCCAGAAUGUGUACCAUUCCGUCUAACACACAAUAUGGUUGAUGCUAUGGGACCAACAGGAUAUGAAGGUGCUUUCAGAAAAGCUUGUGAAGUAACUAUGAGAGUAAUGCGUAGCAGAACUGAUGCUCUCAUGAGUGUUUUGAGACCAUUUGUGCAUGAUCCUUUAGUGGAAUGGAGUAGAUCUAAGAAUUCCAAAGCUCAACAUGAUGGUGAAAUAAUAAAUGAGCAGCAACAUACAACAGCAACAGUGCAACACAAAACCUGGCAACUGAAGUCAAUCUAUUUGAUGCUCAACAUUCUGGAAAAUGAAACAGGAAUAAUCUCACUAUCAUAAGGGUUUGACACAUGUUAAAGAUAUCGAGUUGAGGCUGAAUGGAAUCAUUAAGUAUAAAAACAAACGGCAGGGAUUACCACUAUCUAUUGAAGGUCAAGUCAAUCAUCUCAUACAGGAAGCUGUAGAUA
Argiope bruennichi is the source of this 7948-nucleotide RNA transcript. It is a transcript of the gene named serine/threonine-protein kinase ATR-like, with no coding region annotated. Lineage: Eukaryota; Metazoa; Arthropoda; Arachnida; Araneae; Araneidae. The transcript has 65 exons. The record is from RefSeq and is a predicted model, not a curated record.